CUUGGUGAUUUUAAGCGUUUUGGAACCACCUCUUCUCAUUCCGAACAGAGUCGUGAAACAAAAUAGCGCCGACGAUACUAUCGCCCAACUCGGUGAUGGGAAACUAGGUCAUUGCCAGGG
RNAcentral lists this ribosomal RNA (120 nucleotides) under Candidatus Roizmanbacteria bacterium RIFCSPLOWO2_02_FULL_38_10. The record is from RNAcentral. Lineage: Bacteria; Candidatus Roizmaniibacteriota.